GACGAACGCUGGCGGCGUGCUUAACACAUGCAAGUCGAACGGAAAGGCCCUGCUUUUGUGGGGUGCUCGAGUGGCGAACGGGUGAGUAACACGUGAGUAACCUGCCCUUGACUUUGGGAUAACUUCAGGAAACUGGGGCUAAUACCGGAUAGGAGCUCCUGCUGCAUGGUGGGGGUUGGAAAGUUUCGGCGGUUGGGGAUGGACUCGCGGCUUAUCAGCUUGUUGGCGGGGUAGUGGCUUACCAAGGCUUUGACGGGUAGCCGGCCUGAGAGGGUGACCGGCAACAUUGGGACUGAGAUACGGCCCAGACUCCUACGGGAGGCAGCAGUGGGGAAUAUUGCACAAUGGGCGGAAGCCUGAUGCAGCAACGCCGCGUGCGGGAUGACGGCCUUCGGGUUGUAAACCGCUUUCGCCUGUGACGAAGCGUGAGUGACGGUAAUGGGGAAAGAAGCACCGGCUAACUACGU
This 467-nucleotide ribosomal RNA is filed under the name uncultured bacterium. RNAcentral's name for it is "partial 16S ribosomal RNA". It matches the Rfam family "Bacterial small subunit ribosomal RNA", at positions 28 to 506 of the family's 1533-position model. The record is from RNAcentral.